RNAcentral lists this ribosomal RNA (253 nucleotides) under uncultured bacterium. RNAcentral's name for it is "partial 16S ribosomal RNA". It matches the Rfam family "Bacterial small subunit ribosomal RNA", at positions 524 to 776 of the family's 1533-position model. The record is from RNAcentral.
UACGGGGGGGGCAAGCGUUGUUCGGAAUUAUUGGGCGUAAAGAGCUCGUAGGCGGUCUGUUGCGUCGGCUGUGAAAACCCGGGGCUCAACCCCGGGCCUGCAGCCGAUACGGGCAGACUAGAGUUCGGCAGGGGAGACUGGAAUUCCUGGUGUAGCGGUGAAAUGCGCAGAUAUCAGGAGGAACACCGGUGGCGAAGGCGGGUCUCUGGGCCGAUACUGACGCUGAGGAGCGAAAGCGUGGGGAGCGAACAGG